RNAcentral lists this ribosomal RNA (665 nucleotides) under uncultured Micromonosporaceae bacterium. Its description in RNAcentral is "bacterial SSU rRNA". It matches the Rfam family "Bacterial small subunit ribosomal RNA", at positions 136 to 816 of the family's 1533-position model. Lineage: Bacteria; Bacillati; Actinomycetota; Actinomycetes; Micromonosporales; Micromonosporaceae. The record is from RNAcentral.
CUUUGGGAUAACCCUCGGAAACGGGGGCUAAUACCGGAUAUGACCUGGCUCCGCAUGGGGUUGGGUGGAAAGUUUUUCGGCCUGGGAUGGGCUCGCGGCCUAUCAGCUUGUUGGUGGGGUGAUGGCCUACCAAGGCGACGACGGGUAGCCGGCCUGAGAGGGCGACCGGCCGCACUGGGACUGAGACACGGCCCAGACUCCUACGGGAGGCAGCAGUGGGGAAUAUUGCACAAUGGGCGGAAGCCUGAUGCAGCGACGCCGCGUGAGGGAUGACGGCCUUCGGGUUGUAAACCUCUUUCAGCAGGGACGAAGCGCAAGUGACGGUACCUGCAGAAGAAGCGCCGGCCAACUACGUGCCAGCAGCCGCGGUAAGACGUAGGGCGCGAGCGUUGUCCGGAUUUAUUGGGCGUAAAGAGCUCGUAGGCGGCUUGUCGCGUCGACCGUGAAAACUUGGGGCUCAACCCCAAGCCUGCGGUCGAUACGGGCAGGCUAGAGUUCGGUAGGAGAGACUGGAAUUCCUGGUGUAGCGGUGAAAUGCGCAGAUAUCAGGAGGAACACCGGUGGCGAAGGCGGGUCUCUGGGCCGAUACUGACGCUGAGGAGCGAAAGCGUGGGGAGCGAACAGGAUUAGAUACCCUGGUAGUCCACGCUGUAAACGUUGGGCGC